AUGAACGCUGGCGGCGUGCCUCAUACAUGCAAGUCGAGCGAACAGAUGAGGAGCUUGCUCCUCUGACGUUAGCGGCGGACGGGUGAGUAACACGUGGAUAACCUACCUAUAAGACUGGGAUAACUUCGGGAAACCGGAGCUAAUACCGGAUAAUAUAUUGAACCGCAUGGUUUAAUAGUGAAAGACGGUUUUGCUGUCACUUAUAGAUGGAUCCGCGCCGCAUUAGCUAGUUGGUAAGGUAACGGCUUACCAAGGCAACGAUGCGUAGCCGACCUGAGAGGGUGAUCGGCCACACUGGAACUGAGACACGGUCCAGACUCCUACGGGAGGCAGCAGUAGGGAAUCUUCCGCAAUGGGCGAAAGCCUGACGGAGCAACGCCGCGUGAGUGAUGAAGGUCUUCGGAUCGUAAAACUCUGUUAUUAGGGAAGAACAAAUGUGUAAGUAACUAUGCACGUCUUGACGGUACCUAAUCAGAAAGCCACGGCUAACUACGUG
This 496-nucleotide ribosomal RNA is filed under the name uncultured bacterium. Its description in RNAcentral is "partial 16S ribosomal RNA". It matches the Rfam family "Bacterial small subunit ribosomal RNA", at positions 29 to 507 of the family's 1533-position model. The record is from RNAcentral.